Stegostoma tigrinum is the source of this 7109-nucleotide RNA transcript. It is a transcript of the gene named zinc and ring finger 1, with no coding region annotated. The record is from RefSeq and is a predicted model, not a curated record. Lineage: Eukaryota; Metazoa; Chordata; Chondrichthyes; Orectolobiformes; Stegostomatidae. The transcript is spliced from 6 exons.
CUCCAGGGGAGGGUUGUUUAUACCGCCCGCCGCCCAUGGGAGGGAAGCAGAGCACGGCGGCCCGCUCCCGGACCGCUUUCCCCGGCGUCUCGAGCGACGACAGCGCCGUCCACACCGCUCACUACGGCCAUUACCGGGCGUCCGCCGCCGGCACCGCCGCUGGAGGUGGAGGUAGUAGUGGUGGAGGAGGAGGAGGAGGCCCCGCCAUGGGGCUCAGGACUCGCUCGGUUAGCAGCGUGGCCGCUAUGGAACCGGCUCAUCCUUUCGGGCUGUACAGUGGUGGAGGUGGAGGGAGCCGGGCUGGAGGAGGAGGCGGCAGGGUGACCGAUGGUGUGGAGCACAGUAACGGAGGAGGUCCCGACUCGGCCGGUAACGGUUACCGGGAGACAGGAGGAGGCCCGGCCGCCCGGGAACUGCAGCUCUACCUGGGCUCGAGAGCGGCCUCGCUGUCCGACUCGCUGCCGCUUCACCUGGCGGCGCCACGCUGGUUCAACACACACAGCGGUUUCAAGUGCCCAAUUUGCUCAAAAUCUGUAGCUUCCGAUGAGAUGGAGAUGCACUUUAUAAUGUGUCUCAGCAAGCCACGACUCUCCUAUAACGACGAUGUACUGAGUAAAGAUGCUGGAGAAUGUGUAAUCUGUUUGGAAGAACUUCUGCAAGGAGACACAAUAGCUCGACUUCCCUGUCUUUGUAUCUACCAUAAAAGCUGUAUAGAUUCAUGGUUUGAAGUGAACAGAUCAUGUCCAGAACACCCUUCAGAUUGACCUCUCCUGGCUUGCAGCUGCUUAUGGCCUUCUAUUAAAGUUGGUGUACGUACCCCCGGGUAACCCGGAGUGGCUUGCAUGACUGGGGCACUUUGCUCACUUUGGAUAAACCCUUACUUGGAGGUUAAGAAUCUGAAACACUCGAAGUUUACCCUUGAACUGAAAUUCCAGCAACCAGUUUUGAACAAGAGAAACAAAAAGCACCAAAUGAAAUUUGGAUAAAGAAGGAAGUAUGGGUAGAUCGCCAGCUGGUAGAUCAAUCACAUCAGCCCCAGAAUGACUAAUACUUUUCAAAAAGACUGUACAGAAAUAAAGAGGGAGAAAAGGACUGGCCAAACAGCACGAUAGCUUUUUGGGUUUAAAAAUGCCAUACAAAAGACUUGUCUCUGGGAUGUGACUUCAAGGUGGCAACCACUACAUGUUAUUAAAGCAAAGGAGAGUGGAAUUUCACGUGUGUUGACCAAGUUCUGAAAAUACCAGAAUGUAAAGCAUUGAGUGUCCGUGGGCUUGUAGUUGUGUCCAUGAUGUGUUUACACAGUGUCCAGUGUAGCCAGCGUGUUCUUGCUGAUGUGUGUACAGACACGAGUACUCUCCUGGCUUUUUCCAUCCCACUUUGUGACAGACGUUGCCAAAAAUUUAAAAUGGAACAGAACCCCCUCCUCUGUUGAAAGGAUCUGUUCCUUGUCGACAAUGUUCAGCCAGAAGCGCUCUCUGCACUAACGUUUAAACCUGGAAUCCUGUCUUCUUGAGCUGUUCAGCUCUGUGCUACAAAGUGACACAGGCAUCCUAAAGAGAUGGUUUAAAUCUCUUUUUUUUUGUCCUCCUCUCAAGGCCCUUGUGGAUUUUUUUAUGGCUGCAAUUUCCUCUAGAGACUAGUGAAUCUGUCCUGCUGUUAAAGAUACCAAUUUUACUUCAGCUUGUUAUGGAGCCUGAAUAUUCAGGCUGGUGUGUUUAUGACAGCUGGAGAAAGAUACUCCCUUUUGUUUGUCAAGGUGUUUUGAUAUGGUGUACCGUCACGAUGUUGAAUAAACUAUUGAAUGAGCAUUUACAUUAAUUUGUGCUAGAUAAACUGAAAUGGAGUUAAGGUUCCCUUUUCUAAUUUUAUUUUGACAGAAAUCUCUUCACACAUGAAAAGUUACAGCAUGAUGUAAAGGUUUUUUUUUACUAUUUGGUGAUGUAGGCUUUUAGUAAGUCUCAGGAAAUGCAAUGGCCUGCACGUGACCCUGAUGUGGGUAGUUUUCCACUUUCUUUAGGGACUGCAUUUACAUUGGGAGACCAGUUUAUAGCAUAAAGGACGUUGCAAUGGUUGUCCGAGAGCUAUAGACUGAUGCUACUAUUCAAUGAUGUGUUUACAGUGACUGCAAGUUGAUAGAAGUAACGUAAGCUAGGAUUCAUAAGCUCUGCCCUAUCUGGCCAAUCAGAACUCUCCAGCAGAGCUAGUACACAGAUCCCUACAAACAUUGGGAGAAACCCUGAGUUUGCUAGGCACGAGCAGCCUGGAUAUCAGGAAGUUAAUUCCUUGCUGUAGAUUUUACUAGUAAAUUAAGUGGUAAUCUUUUUUUCCCCGAAACAAAAACUAGUGUUUUAUAGUUGAUGAACAGACAGACAAAUAAGAAAGAGACUGGAGAUGACACUUUAUAAAAAAUGGAGGAUGUGACUGGAAAAUGAGGAGCGCGCACACCAGCAUUUAUAUUAAAAUUGGUGUUUGUGAGAAGAUUUCAGAAUCAAGACAAAUUGCACUAGUGGUCAAAAAAAAAUUUGAAACCGUGCUGUGAGCAGUUUUGGGUACUACAAGCUACUGCAUGACGGGUAUUGGGUUUGAGCGUAAGGUAGAUUAUUAUAAGAUAAUUGUGCUUUUCCCAGAAAUGUGAGUGUGCCUAGCACUUCUUGGAACUGUGUACAGUCAUUGUGAAAUUAAUGUUUUGAUAUGGUGGGUUAGGGGCUUUUCCCAUGUAUAGAGAUUGAAAUAUGUAGCAGGAUUAUGUCGCUGCUGUUUUUACUAUGUGUUUUAUUCUGGCAUCAGCUUUACAUUUCCCUUCCACUUUUGUAAUGGUUUCACUGUGUGCUCUGUUUCUUUAAAUGAUUUAUCAAAAGAGGUCACAAUGAUGAGGUCCUUGUAAUCUGUGAUGGAUUUCAAACUUCAGGUACAGAGUGUCAGUGAAGCAAGAAUUUACUUUGUUUAAACAAACUUUGUUUUAAAGUUGUUGCACGAUACACAGCACAUUCAUGAUGACAUAAAGUAAUGCACUUUUUGUUUUCUGUGUACUUUUUUUGAAGUUUCUUGAAUGCUCUUGCACUGCUUUAUUCUGAUACAGAUUCUGACCUGGGUGGUCUGUCCUAAUUUUCAAGGUGAACAUUGUAAAAGAAAAAUCAAAAUUUAAGCUUAUUUACUUAAUUUUGAAUGCCUCUGCUGUAAUUUAUACUUAUUCUAAUUUACUCUGUCUUAGUGCCUUGAGUUGAAACCAUUUUUGGUGCUCUCAUUGAGCUGACUAGUUUCCAGCCUGUUUCUUGGUAGCUUUGAUGAAUGAGGAAAUUAACAGUGCUUUUAAUGUGGCUUGUCCCCACUAUAUUUUCAUGUCAAAUCUUUCAUAUAAAGUUAGUUAUUUUUUUAAAAUUCCUUUCAGAUGUGUACGAAAAUAAUAUGGAACUAAAUAUCUAAAUUACAAAUAAAUGGACUCUCUCGAUUUCUGUCUUCAUAAAACAAUGUCCAGUUCCUGCUCUGUAGCUGAACAGCUGAUCUGCAGCAAAUAUUUGACUGCUUUCUUAAAAAUUCAACUGUCGUUUGUGGUACGAUCUAGUGUGAACCUAGUUGAAGUUGUGUGCAGUAUUUGACUGCUUGUGUCAAACAUAGAUGCCACCUAGUGGCUCAGGAAUAAACAGCCCAAAUCAAUCAAAAUCAUAAUUUAUAAAAGCAGAUAUAAUCAUCUACAGUAGCAUCAACAUUCUCACUUAAUGCAUUUUUAAAAAUGGAAAUGAAAAGAAAAUGUUGAAAGUACUCAGAUGCUUUAUCUGCAUCUGAAAACCCUUUAACGUUAACAUUUCAGUAUGGAAAACCAAAACCAAUACACUUGCUAAGAAUUUGGGGAUUUUUGUGUAAUAAUUAAUCCUUUGGAUUAAGAAGGAAAUUUACCUAAAAUAGCAUGAUCCCACAGUUUUGCCUGCUCUUUUAAAAGUUUGACUAAAAUUGCUGUCUGACAGGGUGGUCACAAAGUACUCUGUGGCAGAAUGUUGCUGAGCACCUGUUAUUUCUCACGUGACUCACCUCUGUUAUUUUCACUGGAGCAGGAAUUGAUCAUUUCUUCCCCCAGACAUGAAGUGGACCUCAGCAGGCGACCGCUGCAGGCCACAUUGACUCCCUCAGUCAAACAGCUGCUUUAGUCAUGAAACCUGGUGGCAGCUGACUUGCUUGUCAGAGCAUAGCAUGAGGAGAGGAAAGGACAGCUAAGUUGGGAAAGGAGAAUCUCCACUUGCAUAAUUAAAAUGUAUUGUUGUUGAAAUGUUUACCCAAAAAAAACUUACAAUGCUGCUUCAAUUUUCACCAUAAUGACUUGCUUAUCGGGGUUGCAGAAGAGUUCUGUGGUAUCACAUCUGUUGCUUUAAAAGUGGUGAUGUUCUGAUGGUCGAUCUGCAGGCAGUAAGAUCUUGAUUACAAUCCAUGUCAGUAUCUUAACAUAAUGUGUCAACCAAGAGUAUAAAUUCUUAGUCGCCUUCAGACGUCAUAUCCUCUGGUUGAUUUUGCCAUAUGUCUACGUAGAGGCCACUUUUGCAUUGAGAGUACAGGCCAAUGAUUGCAACGAGUAAUCUCCAUUUAGUACUGCUCUGUUUUAGCAGCAGAACAUCACAGUCUAACUACUUAUAUCGAUUGCCCUGAGGAGACCAUUGUGCGACUUUUAAAAAGAUAUCAAUUAUUUUAAACUUUCGAUUCUCAUUCAUGAUACUUUUAAUAUUUAAUCACCUGCAAGAUUGAAAGAGUAGGAGAUGAUUCAGACCCUUGAAACUGCUCCAUUCAGUUAGAUCAUGGUUGACCUGCACCUCGACUCCACAUCCUUCAAUUUGUGGUGUGCAAAGAUUUCAGUCUCUUUAGAUCCUGCCACCUCUGCUGUGGGAAAUAGAAGUUGAGUUUACACAAGCAUACUUUGUCUGUAUAAAUCUUUUAUAUCAUUCUGGGGAAUGCAUAUUGCAACCCCUUUACAGCCGUUCAAUUCUUGGAUUGAAAUGGGAUGCCCAAAAAGUGAAUGCAGUGUUCUAGUUGGGAUCUGACCAAGACUGUAUACAGCUGAAAAAUGUUCUUCAACCCCCUUGAGAUAAGGGUAAACCUUUCAGACCUUUUGAUUACAUUUUGAGUACUUGCCAACAACUGAACUGAAACACUAGAAUUUACGUUGCUCAGGCCCAAAAUGAAUGACUUUAGACUUAUCCUUAUUGAACUCCAUUGGCCAAAGUCUUAACUACGCAAUUAAGUAUAUUUCUUCUUAAUUUCCUUCUCCCAUCUGCGUGAUUCCAUCAUCCCGUCUAACAACAUUUUUAUCUACAAACUUGGUGCGCCACUCUAUUUCUUUAACUAAGUCAUUAAUAGAUAUUGAAAGAGUGUGGAGUUCCAGAACAACUCCCAGACUGUAAACCUAUUGUUUAGAAGAGAUUGACUAGUCUGAUAAUCAUCACUGUGUAGCAUUCCCUUUGUCUUAACUCCUCGUUUUCUAUUUCCCGAUCAAUUUCCAGCACAGAUUAUAAGUCUACUUCCAAUUCCGUCUCCCUUCAUUUUGCCAUUUUGUUUCUGGAAUUGUAUCAAAAUGACUUCUUGAGAUCUACGGAUAACAUCACUAGGUACCGCUUAUUUGUGACACUGCUACUGAAUUAGUCAGAUAUGACCUGGACUUAAUGAAACCGUUUUAACUUUCUGAUAAGCUCAUUUUUGUUUAAUUACUUACUAACCAUUCGCGGUGACAGAUCUCAGUAACUUCCCUAUAACUAACAUUAAACUGACAGGCUAGAAUUCACAAUGUAACUGAACAAUCAGUGAAACAUUAGAUUUGAAAGAUUAUGACUAAUGCUUCUGAAUUCUCUCUCCAAUUAUUUUAACACUCCAGAGUGGAAACCGUCAAAUCCUCAAGAUUAUCUUGCCUAAUUCCCACUAAUUUCUCCAUUACCUAAUUUUUAAAAAAAAAAUUAGUUGUAUUAAAUCCAGUAAGAUUCUCCCUUGGAUUUAUUCUUCAUCUAUGAUUAGUACUUUAUACCUUGAAGUUCCGGAUACAUCUGUUUUUUUGGGUCCACAUUUCUCUUAGAUAAUCUUGCUCUCAUUAUUAGUAGUAACAAUUUUACUAUUAGCUUUUACCUUAAUUGCAAGUUUUAGUUUUGUUAUGUUUUUUCAGCUUGUAAUUUCCUUUUGUCCUGUUGUUUCCAUAUUUUAAUUAAUAAUUGUCACAAUGUAGUAGUGAAAAUAUGCUGCUGUAUACAACUUCUGCCUCUCUUCUUUUGCCCAAUCCACCUUCCAAAUGAAAUGUGCUUCAUUUUGCAGUUAAUGAAAGAAUGUUAUCCAAACAGUUUUAUUUAAAUAAGCAUUCAGAAGGCUGAUCAGCAAUUAUUUAUGCAAGCUUGUUAGAUAAAAUCCGGAUUGUCUAUUGUAAUAGCACAUUUGGGUAACUAAUUAUUUGGUUAGACUCAUGUAAAAGAGGUGAAAGAGGAAUAAGAGAAACUGUGUCUGAUGACCUUUAUUAAGCAGAACUGCAACAUGAAGUACAAAUGCUGUGUAUUCUACUUCCUCUGUUCAAUAUUUCAGUGUGACUGGGACGUUGCCUUAUGUAAUGAAUUGUCUUUGUAUUGCCCUACAAGAAAAAGGAACUCUUUAGGAGAUUGGAGGAACUUACCCAAUGUGAUUGUAAUCAGAUGCAGACAAUGUAAAUCCUAGUGUGUUUCAGUGUAGUGCAUUAUUAAAUUAUGGCCUGGAUCCUUGAACUAAAGCAGUGUUUGAAAGGAAAAACAAAAUCAGACUUUUCGAAGACGAAAUACUGUAUCAUCAAUGUAAGUCAUUAAUUUACAAGUCAAUUUUUUUGUAGACUUGAAUAAAAGGGGAUAAUCUUUCAACUGUCUUAGUGUGUUUUACACUAUGCACUGUAAGCAGGCUUUCACCAGGUUCCAAUGAGAACAGAUGGAAUUUGUUUGUAAUGCAGUUUCUUGAAAAAUGUUAAAUGUUUACAGGCACAUUAUGCUUUUUAUAUUAAAUUUACUGAGUAGAAGUUGAUCUGAGAUUAACACCAAAAAGAUACAAAGCUCAUUUUAAACAGACUAUCCUGUAUGUUGAUGUAUAGUAUGUAUUUCAAAAUUAUGAAAAAUAAAAUCUACACAACA